RNAcentral lists this ribosomal RNA (459 nucleotides) under uncultured bacterium. Its description in RNAcentral is "partial 16S ribosomal RNA". It matches the Rfam family "Bacterial small subunit ribosomal RNA", at positions 338 to 795 of the family's 1533-position model. The record is from RNAcentral.
CCUACGGGUGGCAGCAGUGAGGAAUAUUGGUCAAUGGACGGAAGUCUGAACCAGCCAUGCCGCGUGCAGGAAGACGGCUCUAUGAGUUGUAAACUGCUUUUGUACAAGGGUAAACCUGAAUACGUGUAUUCAUCUGAAAGUACUUUACGAAUAAGGAUCGGCUAACUCCGUGCCAGCAGCCGCGGUAAUACGGAGGAUGCGAGCGUUAUCCGGAUUUAUUGGGUUUAAAGGGUGCGUAGGCGGAGCGUUAAGUCAGUGGUAAAAUUGAGGGGCUCAACCCCUUCCCGCCAUUGAAACUGGCGCUCUUGAGUGGAAGAGAAGUAUGCGGAAGGCGUGGUGUAGCGGUGAAAUGCAUAGAUAUCACGCAGAACCCCGAUUGCGAAGGCAGCAUGCCGGCUUCCUACUGACGCUGAAGCACGAAAGCGUGGGGAUCGAACAGGAUUAGAUACCCUUGUAGUC